Molecule: long non-coding RNA, 3053 nt
Organism: Brassica napus (rape)
Lineage: Eukaryota; Viridiplantae; Streptophyta; Magnoliopsida; Brassicales; Brassicaceae
Exons: 4
Source: RefSeq, a predicted model, not a curated record
CUUCCUUACUUCAUAGUUGAUAGUACUUUCUGAUUUGUGUUGAGAGUAACCAACACGGCAAGAGAUGUGGAGGUGAAGUGUGCCAUGGAAGACGACGGUGGCAUAAGAUCGUUGAGGUGUAGCCGAGCACAGAGACGUCGGAUCUGAAGAUAGAGGACCAUAGCCAUCUAUCCCACCAACCACCGUCAUCUCUAUCUCUCUCUUAAUUCAACGGCGGAGGAGGAUAAGUAUUAAAUCCCGGUCCAAUUACCGGUAUGAAAGAUACUACAGGUAUGAAAGAUUGUCCAUUUUAUCUAAAAACUGUUCGCUUCGGUUAUGGUAGACAUGGCAUUUACAAUCAAUUGUCCUACUCAUUCCCCACUGAUUGUAAGGUGCAGUUUUUAGAUUUAUGUUUUUUUUUUAUCAAGUUUGAGAGUGAUUAGCCAUGUCCAUUUCAGUGGGGUUAAACGUUUUUUAUUUUGAUUAUCAGGCCAGAACUUUUGAUUGAAGAUUUGAUAAGAGAACUCAGAAGCUACACGACAAAAAGUCAAGAUAUAUGCCAGUGAAUAUGUUAACUAACCUGAAUGUGAUUUUAUGUUUAUACUUUCUUGAAUUCAUUUUAGGUUUGGUUUAACUUUGUCUUCGUAUUUUGAUUCUCAGGCUAGAACAAUGGAUUUGAGGGCGAGCAGAUCCACAUGGAUAUCAAGAUCCAAAUCAGAAGCCAAAGAUUCAGGCGAAUAAAGAUAAGUAGAGAUGCGAGAGACGUGACCAACAGCUUCUCGAACAAAAUCCAAAGAGACCACAUAAUUUCGCAGAGGAGAAGCUACAGUAGAGAAGAUAUGUGGUCAGAUCUCUGUUGGUUGAAACAUUGGGUAUGUUUUCUUCUGUGUUUAGUGCUUAGUUGAUCGCCACCUGUCUCUGUCUCAUUAGUAGAUUUUUAUUUGACAGUACCACUAGAGUUCUGAGAUCUGGUUGCAAGAUUAACUUCCUUAGGAGGAGGAGGCAGAGAUUAGCCUCACUCGAGAAGAAUAGAAAGAAGCUUGCUCCUGCCCCCAACAAACCGGACACGUUUUUGAUUGCUCCUGGAGUUAGCGUCCUGGCCGGGACGCUUUCUGCUGCUGAAAUUGCCUCUGUCAUUAACAAGUAUGGAUCUCCUCGCCCUAGAAUGGAAAGCAGAUGGAGGAGAACGGAAGUCUUUGCAGUAGCCAAAUGGUCGAGCGCUCCUCAAAAAUAUUUUAGAGAUGCAGUGGUCGAGAUGAUCAUAGAGAAUGGUAUCAACCACCAGGAAGAACUCAAAGAGGUUCUCAUUUGUUAUCUCAGAUUCAACACCGACGAAUAUCAUGUCGACAUGAACAUCAAUAUGUUUCAGCAGAUGUUUAAGACAUGGGAAAAAAUUAUGGAGGAAAGACUAAGGGGCAAACAAAAUGAUACUUAUAGCAAACUUGGGAGUGAAGAAACUGGUGUCUCAGUGAAAAAGGUGAAAGCGGAGUGGUGGGGGAAGUUAAGGAGUACUAGGUAUUAAUGGCCUGUUUCUUUUCUCGAGAUGCAGAUCUUUUUUUCAAAACACGUUUAGUGUCAUUUGAGGUUUUGGUUUUGUUGCUGAGAAGGUUCUAUGGCAUUAAAAUUGAGUUAUGUUUCUCAUGGCCAUCCAAAUCGUAUAUAAAAUUGAGUAAAUAAUUUUUAUUAAAUUUGCAUCUAUGAUGUCAGAGGAUACAAAAACAUGUGGCUGACCAGCGUUGUGGAUUAUUUUUGUUAUCUGGAAAAAAAGGACAUGGAUUUUCAAAUCAGAAAUCAGUUUUUUUUUAAGACUUUAACCAUCAUAUUUUACAACUAAAUUUGAAUUUUUAUUUUUCCAGAAAUUCCAAUAUUUUAUGUAUAAGGCCACAUAAACUCAAGAAUGCACGAUUCAUUAAAUAAAUACUUUUACGUUCAAAUAAAAUAAAUUGUUUUAGUGAAUAUUUUAUAUUGAAAUUUUCCUCUUUACUGCUAUAUGACAUAUUCAUGUUAAACACAACAACAUUAGGUGGUUAGUGAAAUUCAACAAUCAGAAAAAGAUUUUCAAUAAACAAGUAUCAUCAGAUAAAAUUUAAAUUUUAUAGUUGAUUUGGUUACGAAGAUAGAAAAACCCUUCAAAAACAUAUUUCUAUGAAAGAUUUUGCUCAUGCAAAAUGGUCAAUGCUACAUAUAUUACAUUAUUUACAUUUUAAAUGUAUAAAAUAUAUAUCAAAAUAAUUUAUAUAAAUGGCUUGCAAGUAUUAAAAAUGAGAAAAUAAAAGAUUCCAAUUAGCCGAAAUAAAGCAGUACUAAAUACAUAUGAAGAACUCGACCAUAAAACAGUUUUACCUUUUCAAUUUGUAAAUAGUAAAAAAAAUUCUCAAAACAAAAAAUAUAUAAUCUCAUAUUUUUAUAAUUAUAUUUUCUAAAUCUACUUAAACUUAUACCUACAUAUACAACUAAUUGGUUGGCUAGCUAUACGCUAAAUAACCUCUAACUGUUAAUAAUGAUUAGAAUGUACCAAAAUUUGAAUAUAUAAAUAGAAAUCUAAAGAGAACAAUAAAUAAACUUAUUAUUGGAAAACUAAACAAAUCCAUAAAAAUAAAGAUAAUAAACUAGGGUCAGUGGCUACAAUCAAUAGUUUAAAUCAAGUGGCUACAGUCAAUAGUUUAAAUCUCAAAUUUUUAUUUUGCCAUGAAAAACAAAUUAUUUAACUAAUUUAUUAAUAAUAAAUUAGGACUUUGGACAAAAAUUAAAAAAAAUAAUUAAAUAGCAAUUACUAUUUAUAAAAGAAAGUUUUGGCUAUUAAAAAAAACUUUUAAAUCUAAAAAAUUACAUUGCGAAGAUUUUCUUUAAUUGUUACCUCCAGUCUAUUAUGUAUAUACUAUUAGAUUUCCAUCUUUAUUUAUAAUAUUAUACCAAUUAAGUUUGUGUAAAGGUCAAUUUAGGUUAGAUCAUUACCAAUUUAUGCAUUUGGCUUCUCGCUAUACCACCACAAGAAAAUACUCCGAAUUCCGACGGAGCUUCCGACUGACACCAAGGUCGUCGGACAUUUGCGACGGAAUACUGACAAAUUUCCG